UGUCUCUUGAGCUAAUGCCAAGCUAACUCUAGCAGCAAAAUUAUCAUGCAAAGGCAUGUGGUCCAUUAAAAAUAUGAGUCAGAAUUGCAGGGUGAUGUCACAUCAGCUGCCCCUGAUGAUAGCUAUCAAAAGUUAGCACAAGCUUCCAAAUCACAAACGCUUUGGCUCUGAUCCUAUUUUAGUGAAUCUGCUUUUACGAUUAAACCAUCACUCUAAUUGGCACUGGAAGAGCAUUGGCAGUCUGCUGUGGUUGCCUUCCUUGCAAAGCAUGUUUGUGAUGCUCAUCUCUGAAUGAUGCAUAGUGUCUGCCUGUCUUCAAAUAUAAAAAAAAAAAAAAAAAAUUAGAAAAAGAAGGUAUGAACAGCAGCUGGCAGAUAGACUGGUCAGCAGUGAUUCACUCCCUGGCAGCCAUGAUGAGAGCACCAUGAGCUAAAUUCAGCCCUGCUGGAGGUAUCAAGGGAAAAUGGCUAGCAGUGAGUUCUGUAGCUUUUCCUGCUCUACAGCCCCUCUGGCUUAGCCAGCUGGAUCACACUGAAUUAGUCAAGUACUUCAUUAUCUCCCUUCUCUGCACAUUUAGCUCCAGCAGGAACGAACCCUUCCACAGCCAUACUGACCUCGGGGGUCUCCGAGCACUUCUCCACCUGCCUGGGAAGGACAGACAGCCUCUCCCAGCUGCCCACAGGUGGAAGCAGGCUGCGAGCCCUCCAUGCUGCUAAGUGCAAGGAUUAUAGAACAGCGAGAAAGCAAAUUGCUACAGUUAAAGAAAGAAAACAGCAGGACUAACACAUUUUAGUAGGGAGGAUGCAGGCAGUAGCAUGGGGCAUGCUGGCAGUGCGUGACAGCCCUCCAUCCCAGCCACUGCCCACAGGAACACCUACGUGCCCCCCAUCUCCUCAGCAAGCACGAGUUCAGCAACAGCAAUUCAUCAUUGGGAGAAACAUUAAUAUUUUACCUUAGUUACCAAGUGCGCCCGUUCAAACUUUUAUCUAAAACAUUCUUUAUCAUCUUUUCAUUAAGUUCUCAAGAGCUAAUGGUUUCUGAGUUCCCGGGGUAAGGAUGAUGUUCUGAAUAAUGAAAGCUCAUUAUUUCUCCACAGAAUGCUUGUUAAUUCAAAUGAUGAUAUUAAAACUAUAGUAGCC
This is a long non-coding RNA of Lonchura striata (white-rumped munia), 1139 nucleotides long. RefSeq lists it as uncharacterized. The record is from RefSeq and is a predicted model, not a curated record. Lineage: Eukaryota; Metazoa; Chordata; Aves; Passeriformes; Estrildidae.